Molecule: ribosomal RNA, 521 nt
Filed under: uncultured bacterium
Lineage: Bacteria
Description: bacterial SSU rRNA
Rfam family: Bacterial small subunit ribosomal RNA
Source: RNAcentral
AGAGUUUGAUCAUGGCUCAGAUUGAACGCUGGCGGCAUGCCUUACACAUGCAAGUCGAACGGUAACAGGUCUUCGGACGCUGACGAGUGGCGAACGGGUGAGUAAUACAUCGGAACGUGCCCAGUCGUGGGGGAUAACUACUCGAAAGAGUAGCUAAUACCGCAUACGAUCUGAGGAUGAAAGCGGGGGACCUUCGGGCCUCGCGCGAUUGGAGCGGCCGAUGGCAGAUUAGGUAGUUGGUGGGAUAAAAGCUUACCAAGCCGACGAUCUGUAGCUGGUCUGAGAGGACGACCAGCCACACUGGGACUGAGACACGGCCCAGACUCCUACGGGAGGCAGCAGUGGGGAAUUUUGGACAAUGGGCGAAAGCCUGAUCCAGCAAUGCCGCGUGCAGGAUGAAGGCCUUCGGGUUGUAAACUGCUUUUGUACGGAACGAAAAAGCUCCUUCUAAUACAGGGGGCCCAUGACGGUACCGUAAGAAUAAGCACCGGCUAACUACGUGCCAGCCGCCGCGGUAAUAC